RNAcentral lists this ribosomal RNA (482 nucleotides) under uncultured bacterium. RNAcentral's name for it is "partial 16S ribosomal RNA". It matches the Rfam family "Bacterial small subunit ribosomal RNA", at positions 28 to 507 of the family's 1533-position model. The record is from RNAcentral.
GAUGAACGCUAGCGGCAGGCCUAAUACAUGCAGGUCGGACGGGAUUCAGGAGCUUGCUUCUGAUGAGAGUGGCGCACGGGUGCGUAACACGUAUGUAACCUACCUUUAUCAGGGGGAUAGCCUCUCGAAAGAGAGAUUAAGCCCGCAUAAAAUCACAGCACAGCAUUGUGUAAUGAUCAAAUAUUUAUAGGAUAAAGAUGGGCAUGCGGAACAUUAGCUAGAUGGCGGGGUAACGGCCCACCAUGGCGACGAUGUUUAGGGGAUCUGAGAGGAUGGCCCCCCACACUGGUACUGAGACACGGACCAGACUCCUACGGGAGGCAGCAGUAAGGAAUAUUGAUCAAUGGGCGGAAGCCUGAACCAGCCAUGCCGCGUGCAGGAAGACGGCCCUACGGGUUGUAAACUGCUUUUAUACGGGAAUAAACCCAGAUACGUGUAUCUGGCUGAAUGUACUGUAAGAAUAAGGAUCGGCUAACUCCGUG